Schistosoma curassoni is the source of this 45-nucleotide non-coding RNA. Lineage: Eukaryota; Metazoa; Platyhelminthes; Trematoda; Strigeidida; Schistosomatidae. The record is from Rfam.
AUCCAUCUGACGAGUCCCAAAUGCGACGAACCGCACGUCCUGGAU